RNAcentral lists this unclassified non-coding RNA (379 nucleotides) under uncultured delta proteobacterium. RNAcentral describes it as "contains 16S-23S intergenic spacer region". The record is from RNAcentral. Lineage: Bacteria; Deltaproteobacteria.
UCCGGUUUGACACCGGCAGUCUCCCUAGAGUGCCCGGCAUAACCCGCUGGUAACUAGUGGCGAGGGUUGCGCUCGUUGCGGGACUUAACCCAACAUCUCACAACACGAGCUGACGACAGCCAUGCAGCACCUGUCUCCGCGCCUCCGAAGAGGACACCCACUUUCAUGGGCUAGCACGGGAUGUCAAGCCUAGGUAAGGUUUUUCGCGUAGCAUCGAAUUAAACCACAUGCUCCACCGCUUGUGCGGGCCCCCGUCAAUUCCUUUGAGUUUUAAUCUUGCGACCGUACUUCCCAGGCGGAAUACUUAAUGCGUUAGCUACGUCACCAAGACAAUUAGGUAUCCUGACAACUAGUAUUCAUCGUUUAGGGCAUGGACUAC